UACGGGGGGGGCAAGCGUUGUUCGGAAUUACUGGGCGUAAAGGGCUCGUAGGCGGCCAACUAAGUCAAACGUGAAAUCCCUCGGCUUAACCGGGGAACUGCGUCUGAUACUGGAUGGCUUGAGAUUGGGAGAGGGAUGCGGAAUUCCAGGUGUAGCGGUGAAAUGCGUAGAUAUCUGGAGGAACACCGGUGGCGAAGGCGGCCCUCUGGACGGUGACUGACGCUGAGACGCGAAAGCGUGGGGAGCAAACAGG
Molecule: ribosomal RNA, 253 nt
Filed under: uncultured bacterium
Lineage: Bacteria
Description: partial 16S ribosomal RNA
Rfam family: Bacterial small subunit ribosomal RNA
Source: RNAcentral